AGAGUUUGAUCCUGGCUCAGGAUGAACGCUGGCGGCGUGCCUAAUACAUGCAAGUCGAGCGAACCACUUCGGUGGGAAGCGGCGAACGGGUGAGUAACACGUAGGUGAUCUGCCCAUCAGACGGGGACAACGAUUGGAAACGAUCGCUAAUACCGGAUAGGACGAAAGUUUAAAGAUGCUCCUGGCAUCACUGAUGGAUGAGCCUGCGGCGCAUUAGCUAGUUGGUGGGGUAAAGGCCUACCAAGGCGACGAUGCGUAGCCGACCUGAGAGGGUGAACGGCCACACUGGGACUGAGACACGGCCCAGACUCCUACGGGAGGCAGCAGUAGGGAAUCUUCGGCAAUGGGCGAAAGCCCGACCGAGCAACGCCGCGUGAAUGAAGAAGGCCUUCGGGUUGUAAAAUUCUGUUAUAAGGGAAGAAAGGUGAUAGGAGGAAAUGACUAUCAAUUGACGGUACCUUAUGAGAAAGCCACGGCUAACUACGUG
This 487-nucleotide ribosomal RNA is filed under the name uncultured Turicibacter sp. Its description in RNAcentral is "bacterial SSU rRNA". It matches the Rfam family "Bacterial small subunit ribosomal RNA", at positions 8 to 507 of the family's 1533-position model. The record is from RNAcentral. Lineage: Bacteria; Bacillati; Bacillota; Erysipelotrichia; Erysipelotrichales; Turicibacteraceae.